GUAGGUGGCAAGCGUUGUCCGGAAUUAUUGGGCGUAAAGCGCGCGCAGGCGGUCCUUUAAGUCUGAUGUGAAAGCCCACGGCUCAACCGUGGAGGGUCAUUGGAAACUGGGGGACUUGAGUACAGAAGAGGAAAGCGGAAUUCCAAGUGUAGCGGUGAAAUGCGUAGAGAUUUGGAGGAACACCAGUGGCGAAGGCGGCCUUCUGGUCUGUAACUGACGCUGAGGCGCGAAAGCGUGGGGAGCAAACAGGGAUUAGAUACCCUGGUAGUCCACGCCGUAAACGAUGAGUGCUAAGUGUUAGGGGGUUUCCCGCCCCUUAGUGCUGCAGCUAACGCAUUAAGCACUCCGCCUGGGGAGUACGGCCGCAAGGCUG
Molecule: ribosomal RNA, 373 nt
Filed under: uncultured organism
Description: partial 16S ribosomal RNA
Rfam family: Bacterial small subunit ribosomal RNA
Source: RNAcentral